CAGUCGCCGCGGGAAUACGGAGGGCGCGAGCGUUACCCGGAUUUACUGGGCGUAAAGGGCGUGUAGGCGGCCUGGGGCGUCCCAUGUGAAAGGCCACGGCUCAACCGUGGAGGAGCGUGGGAUACGCUCAGGCUAGAGGGUGGGAGAGGGUGGUGGAAUUCCCGGAGUAGCGGUGAAAUGCGCAGAUACCGGGAGGAACGCCGAUGGCGAAGGCAGCCACCUGGUCCACUUCUGACGCUGAGGCGCGAAAGCGUGGGGAGCAAACCGGAUUAGAGACCCCAGUAGUCCCUGUCUCUUAUAA
This 301-nucleotide ribosomal RNA is filed under the name uncultured bacterium. Its description in RNAcentral is "partial 16S ribosomal RNA". It matches the Rfam family "Bacterial small subunit ribosomal RNA", at positions 509 to 809 of the family's 1533-position model. The record is from RNAcentral.